This 399-nucleotide transfer-messenger RNA is filed under the name Candidatus Nomurabacteria bacterium RIFCSPLOWO2_01_FULL_36_10b. It matches the Rfam family "transfer-messenger RNA". Rfam says of the family: Bacterial tmRNA, also known as 10Sa RNA or SsrA, is named for its dual tRNA and mRNA-like properties. Its role is to liberate the mRNA from a stalled ribosome. To accomplish this part of the tmRNA is used as a reading frame that ends in a translation stop signal. Lineage: Bacteria; Candidatus Nomuraibacteriota. The record is from RNAcentral.
GGGGAUGUUCUGGAACGCCAUCAGAACAACCAACGCCAGCGCGCGCCGAGAUUGAGAGUAAUCUCGUAAAACACUCUCAAACCUUUGACGUGCAAACUCAAAGUCUGUUGCAUCACCAUACGCGGUGCGUGCACUUAAUUUCGUGUAGCCCAUCGUGGCAUGACGAACGCUCAUAGUUAGUAGCCAACCCUAGCUACAUGAGUGCCAUAACGAUUGGCUCGAUAAUAACCACAUUCUGAAGUUAUUAUUUAAACAAUCAGGAUAGAUAUUUGAUUGUUCUGUUUAUCUUAUAGGUCAUUUAUCAAUAUCCGCAUUUGCAUGCGGUAAAGAUAUACUACGCUCGUAGAUGCUGUCGUUGAUGUCUGAUGCACGUGGGUUCGACUCCCACCAUCUCCACUC